Long non-coding RNA from Oncorhynchus mykiss (rainbow trout), 1605 nucleotides. The record is from Ensembl. Lineage: Eukaryota; Metazoa; Chordata; Actinopteri; Salmoniformes; Salmonidae.
CACCAUCUCGCUCUCUCUAACACCAUCUCUCUCUCUGUCUUCAUCACCAUCUCUCUCUCUCUGUCUUCAUCACCAUCUCUCUCUCUGUCUUCAUCACCAUCUCUAUCUCUCUCUCUGUCUUCAACACCAUCUCUCUCCCUCUCUGUCUUCAACACCAUCUCUCUCUCUGUCUUCAUCACCAUCUCUCUCUCUCUGUCUUCAACACCAUCUCUCUCUCUCUGUCUUCAACACCAUCUCUCUCUCUCUGUCUUCAUCACCAUCUCUCUCUCUGUCUUCAUCACCAUCUCUCUCUCUCUGUCUUCAUCACCAUCUCUCUCUGUCUUCAUCACCAUCUCUCUCUCUCUCUCUGUCUUCAUCACCAUCUCUCUCUCUCUCUCUCUCUCUGUCUUCAUCACCAUCUCGCUCUCUCUCUGUCUUCAUAACCAUCUCUCUCUCUCUUUGUCUUCAUCACCAUCUCUCUCUCUCUGUCUUCAUCACCAUCUAUCUCUCUCUCUCUCUCUCUCUCUCUCUCUCUCUCUCUGUCUUCAUCACCAUCUCUCUCUCUCUCUCUCUCUGUCUUCAUCACCAUCUCUCUCUCUCUCUGUCUUCAUCACCAUCUCUCUCUCUCUCUCUGUCUUCAUCACCAUCUCUCUCUCUCUCUCUCUCUCGCUCUCUCUGUCUUCAUCUCUCUCUCUCUCUCUCUCUCUCUCUCUCUCUCUCUCUCUUCAUCACCAUCUCUCUCUCUCUCUCUCCAUCACCAUCUCUCUCUCUCUGUCUUCAUCACCAUCUCUCUCAGUCUUCAACACCAUCUCUCUCUCUGUCUUCAACGCCAUCUCUCUCUCUCUCUCUGUCUUCGUCACCAUCUCUCUCCGACUUCAACACCAUCUCUCUCUGUCUUCAACACCAUCUCUCUCUCUCUCUCUGUCUUCAUCACCAUCUCUCUCUCUCUCUCUGUCUUCAUCACCAUCUCUCUCUCUGUCUUCAUCACCAUCUAUCUCUCUCUGUCUUCAUCACCAUCUCUCUCUCUGUCUUCAUCACCAUCUCUCUCUGUCUUCAACACCAUCUCUCUCUCUCUGUCUUCAUCACCAUCUCUCUCUCUCUGUCUUGAUCACCCUCUCUCUCUGUCUUCAUCACCAUCUCUCUCUCUCUGUCUUGAUCACCAUCUCUCUCUGUCUUCAUCACCAUCUCUCUCUGUCUUCAUCACCAUCUCUCUCUCUCUGUCUUCAUCACCAUCUCUCUCUCUCUGUCUUCAACACCAUCUCUCUCUCUUUGUCUUCAUCACCAUCUCUCUCUCUCUUUGUCUUCAUCACCAUCUCUCUCUCUCUCUGUCUUCAACAUCAUCUCUCUCUCUCGCUGUCUUCAACACCAUCUCUCUCUCUCUCUCUGUCUUCAUCACCAUCUCUCUCUCUCUCUGUCUUCAUCACCAUCUCUCUCUCUGUCUUCAUCACCAUCUCUCUCUCUCUCUGUCUUCAUCACCAUCUCUCUUUCUCUCUGACUUCAACACCAUCUCUCUCUCUCAAUUCAAUUCAAUUCAAUUCAAUUCAAGGGCUUUAUUGGCAUGGGAAACGUGUUAACAUUGCCAAAGCAAGUGAGGUAGACAACAUACAAAGUGAAUAUAUAAAGUGA